RNAcentral lists this ribosomal RNA (497 nucleotides) under uncultured bacterium. Its description in RNAcentral is "partial 16S ribosomal RNA". It matches the Rfam family "Bacterial small subunit ribosomal RNA", at positions 28 to 507 of the family's 1533-position model. The record is from RNAcentral.
GAUGAACGCUGGCGGCGUGCCUAAUACAUGCAAGUCGAGCGAACAGACGAGGAGCUUGCUCCUCUGACGUUAGCGGCGGACGGGUGAGUAACACGUGGAUAACCUACCUAUAAGACUGGGAUAACUUCGGGAAACCGGAGCUAAUACCGGAUAAUAUAUUGAACCGCAUGGUUCAAUAGUGAAAGACGGUUUUGCUGUCACUUAUAGAUGGAUCCGCGCCGCAUUAGCUAGUUGGUAAGGUAACGGCUUACCAAGGCAAUGAUGCGUAGCCGACCUGAGAGGGUGAUCGGCCACACUGGAACUGAGACACGGUCCAGACUCCUACGGGAGGCAGCAGUAGGGAAUCUUCCGCAAUGGGCGAAAGCCUGACGGAGCAACGCCGCGUGAGUGAUGAAGGUCUUCGGAUCGUAAAACUCUGUUAUUAGGGAAGAACAAAUGUGUAAGUAACUAUGCACGUCUUGACGGUACCUAACCAGAAAGCCACGGCUAACUACGUG